RNAcentral lists this ribosomal RNA (459 nucleotides) under Borreliella afzelii. Its description in RNAcentral is "bacterial SSU rRNA". It matches the Rfam family "Bacterial small subunit ribosomal RNA", at positions 48 to 501 of the family's 1533-position model. Lineage: Bacteria; Pseudomonadati; Spirochaetota; Spirochaetia; Spirochaetales; Borreliaceae. The record is from RNAcentral.
CUUAAGCAUGCAAGUCAAACGGAAUGUAGCAAUACAUUUAGUGGCGAACGGGUGAGUAACGCGUGGAUGAUCUACCUAUGAGAUGGGGAUAACUACUAGAAAUAGUAGCUAAUACCGAAUAAGGUCAAUUAAUUUGUUAAUUGAUGAAAGGAAGCCUUUAAAGCUUCGCUUGUAGAUGAGUCUGCGUCUUAUUAGUUAGUUGGUGGGGUAAAUGCCUACCAAGACGAUGAUAAGUAACCGGCCUGAGAGGGUGAACGGUCACACUGGAACUGAGAUACGGUCCAGACUCCUACGGGAGGCAGCAGCUAAGAAUCUUCCGCAAUGGGCGAAAGCCUGACGGAGCGACACUGCGUGAAUGAAGAAGGUCGAAAGAUUGUAAAAUUCUUUUAUAAAUGAGGAAUAAGCUUUGUAGGAAAUGACAAAGCGAUGACGUUAAUUUAUGAAUAAGCCCCGGCUAAU